RNAcentral lists this ribosomal RNA (1492 nucleotides) under Staphylococcus aureus. RNAcentral describes it as "bacterial LSU rRNA". It matches the Rfam family "Bacterial large subunit ribosomal RNA", at positions 1390 to 2879 of the family's 2925-position model. The record is from RNAcentral. Lineage: Bacteria; Bacillati; Bacillota; Bacilli; Caryophanales; Staphylococcaceae.
CCUAAGCUGAGGCCGACAGGCGUAGGCGAUGGAUAACAGGUUGAUAUUCCUGUACCACCUAUAAUCGUUUUAAUCGAUGGGGGGACGCAGUAGGAUAGGCGAAGCGUGCGAUUGGAUUGCACGUCUAAGCAGUAAGGCUGAGUAUUAGGCAAAUCCGGUACUCAUUAAGGCUGAGCUGUGAUGGGGAGAAGACAUUGUGUCUUCGAGUCGUUGAUUUCACACUGCCGAGAAAAGCCUCUAGAUAGAAAAUAGGUGCCCGUACCGCAAACCGACACAGGUAGUCAAGAUGAGAAUUCUAAGGUGAGCGAGCGAACUCUCGUUAAGGAACUCGGCAAAAUGACCCCGUAACUUCGGGAGAAGGGGUGCUCUUUAGGGUUAACGCCCAGAAGAGCCGCAGUGAAUAGGCCCAAGCGACUGUUUAUCAAAAACACAGGUCUCUGCUAAACCGUAAGGUGAUGUAUAGGGGCUGACGCCUGCCCGGUGCUGGAAGGUUAAGAGGAGUGGUUAGCUUCUGCGAAGCUACGAAUCGAAGCCCCAGUAAACGGCGGCCGUAACUAUAACGGUCCUAAGGUAGCGAAAUUCCUUGUCGGGUAAGUUCCGACCCGCACGAAAGGCGUAACGAUUUGGGCACUGUCUCAACGAGAGACUCGGUGAAAUCAUAGUACCUGUGAAGAUGCAGGUUACCCGCGACAGGACGGAAAGACCCCGUGGAGCUUUACUGUAGCCUGAUAUUGAAAUUCGGCACAGCUUGUACAGGAUAGGUAGGAGCCUUUGAAACGUGAGCGCUAGCUUACGUGGAGGCGCUGGUGGGAUACUACCCUAGCUGUGUUGGCUUUCUAACCCGCACCACUUAUCGUGGUGGGAGACAGUGUCAGGCGGGCAGUUUGACUGGGGCGGUCGCCUCCUAAAAGGUAACGGAGGCGCUCAAAGGUUCCCUCAGAAUGGUUGGAAAUCAUUCAUAGAGUGUAAAGGCAUAAGGGAGCUUGACUGCGAGACCUACAAGUCGAGCAGGGUCGAAAGACGGACUUAGUGAUCCGGUGGUUCCGCAUGGAAGGGCCAUCGCUCAACGGAUAAAAGCUACCCCGGGGAUAACAGGCUUAUCUCCCCCAAGAGUUCACAUCGACGGGGAGGUUUGGCACCUCGAUGUCGGCUCAUCGCAUCCUGGGGCUGUAGUCGGUCCCAAGGGUUGGGCUGUUCGCCCAUUAAAGCGGUACGCGAGCUGGGUUCAGAACGUCGUGAGACAGUUCGGUCCCUAUCCGUCGUGGGCGUAGGAAAUUUGAGAGGAGCUGUCCUUAGUACGAGAGGACCGGGAUGGACAUACCUCUGGUGUACCAGUUGUCGUGCCAACGGCAUAGCUGGGUAGCUAUGUGUGGACGGGAUAAGUGCUGAAAGCAUCUAAGCAUGAAGCCCCCCUCAAGAUGAGAUUUCCCAACUUCGGUUAUAAGAUCCCUCAAAGAUGAUGAGGUUAAUAGGUUCGAGGUGGAAGCAUGGU